Molecule: microRNA precursor, 185 nt
Filed under: Oryza brachyantha (malo sina)
Lineage: Eukaryota; Viridiplantae; Streptophyta; Magnoliopsida; Poales; Poaceae
Description: MIR812 microRNA precursor family
Rfam family: MIR812 microRNA precursor family
Source: Rfam by way of RNAcentral
AAUAAGUUCAUUUUCCAGUUUUUGGAUACAAUCUUUGACUAUUCGUUUUAUUUAAAAAAAUUAUGAUUAAUAUUUUUAUUGUUAUUAGAUGAUAAAACAUGAAUAAUACUUUACGUGUGAUUAUUUUUUUAUUUUUUUAUAAUUUUUUAAAUAAAACGGAUGGUCAAAUGUUGGAUACAGAAACU